Molecule: long non-coding RNA, 946 nt
Organism: Apodemus sylvaticus (European woodmouse)
Lineage: Eukaryota; Metazoa; Chordata; Mammalia; Rodentia; Muridae
Exons: 3
Source: RefSeq, a predicted model, not a curated record
UGUAUCACCACAACCUCACACCACCGCUGUCAGCUUUCUGGUUUCUAUCCAUUCUGGUCCACAUUAACGCUAAGCCACGGGUGCACUAGACACAGUGCACUAGACACAGUGUGUGUCUCUUCCUGUGUUUUUCUCUGCCAAUACAACCUGUCAACGUUACUUAACAAUUAAGAUUUUCGUUCUAUCCUGCCUUGACAAAUAAUGAUUUUUCCUACUGCCACUAAGUUAUAGUGUGCUCUACUGUCUAACUCAGAUAUGACCAAUAGAUACUGCUCUCAAUCUUGUCAGAAGUCUGCUAAUAUAUUAAUAUUCAAGCUUAUGACAGACAGAGACUCCCAGAGUCUAACAGUUAACCCCUGAGGUCUCAGAAGAUAAUGGAGACAGCUACAAGAGACUAUCUGGAUUGUGGACAAAACUGGAUACCCUGAGAGUCAAGUGCCUUAUAUUGCCCAAGUCAAGGAUGAGCCCAAGGCCUUGAGCAUGCUGGGAAACUGCUGUACCACGGCGCUACCUGCCCCUCCAGGCGACUGUGUGCAUUUUGCAGCUGUAUUCAAGGACGGGCCCAGCAUGUCAGAGUUCUGGCCCUGUGUGAGCUGUGCAGAGAGCCCGGUGACACAUCCUGGACUGAGUAGAUGGCUCAGCAGGUGAAGGCACAAGCUUUGCAGGAUGCAACCCUGACAACUGGGUUUGAAUGUGGACACACACGCGGAGGGAGAGAACUGACUCUGGCCUCCACACACGAACACAGCAACCCAGCCAAAAAAAUGAAUACGGUUAAACAAGCAACCUUAAGAGUUCCUGACUUUACAAAGGAAAUGAUGAAUCUGGCCUUUGCUUUAAGAUAACAGGGACCAGAGAAGUGGGUGGGCACAAUGAGAAAAUGGGCUCAUGUGGAUCACGUUGAAACAUGGGGACCAGGUACCAAGAGGUUCCUUACAUGCCCUAC